RNAcentral lists this ribosomal RNA (439 nucleotides) under uncultured bacterium. RNAcentral describes it as "bacterial SSU rRNA". It matches the Rfam family "Bacterial small subunit ribosomal RNA", at positions 469 to 905 of the family's 1533-position model. The record is from RNAcentral.
GUGACGGUACCUGCAGAAAAAGCGCCGGCUAACUACGUGCCAGCAGCCGCGGUAAUACGUAGGGCGCAAGCGUUAUCCGGAAUUAUUGGGCGUAAAGAGCUCGUAGGCGGUUUGUCGCGUCUGCUGUGAAAUCCGGAGGCUCAACCUCCGGCCUGCAGUGGGUACGGGCAGACUAGAGUGCGGUAGGGGAGAUUGGAAUUCCUGGUGUAGCGGUGGAAUGCGCAGAUAUCAGGAGGAACACCGAUGGCGAAGGCAGAUCUCUGGGCCGUAACUGACGCUGAGGAGCGAAAGGGUGGGGAGCAAACAGGCUUAGAUACCCUGGUAGUCCACCCCGUAAACGUUGGGAACUAGUUGUGGGGUCCAUUCCACGGAUUCCGUGACGCAGCUAACGCAUUAAGUUCCCCGCCUGGGGAGUACGGCCGCAAGGCUAAAACUCAAA